UGUGUGCUUGUGUAUGGGUGCGCGUUUGAAUGGGUGCGUCGUGUGUAGAACUAGAUGCUGCAGUUUGCAGCUGGUUUGAUUCAUGUCGUGGGUCACUUACCAAUGUAUGUAGGCCUAAUUGGCUAUGACCUUUGAAAUAGUUGAAAGUAAAUCCCAGUAGUAUCUAGUGAAACACACAUGCAAACGCCCUUCUGUCCCUCAUUCCCUCAAACUCGAUCUUCUACAUUUGUUGUGUAAAAAGGACAUAGCAAGUUUUUUGUAUCAAUGAUCACUUUAGGAUAUUCCAGUGCAUUUACAUUCAAUAUAUACUGUACCUUGAGUGAGGUAGAAAUGCAUAUUGUUGCAAAUAUAAAUACUGUUAAUUUGUUAUUUUUUGUAAUUAAUCAUUUACUGAAUUUCUUUGUAGAAUAUGUUACUAUUAUUUGGGUUUUUGUUCUCUGCAUAACUGUCUCUUUCACCUAUAUUAAUUCCUCAGCAUUCAAGAUGUUUGUAGGGUCCUCACCUCAGCUACCUCUCACAAGGUGCCCCUGAAAAAGAAAUUCAAGACGUUUGGGUCCUCAGCUCAACUGACCAAGACCUUUGCUCAUUGAAGGCAUGAAGUAAUUUGUGAUGCCCCCACGAUUGCAGUUUUUAAAUCCAGAUGGCUUGCUCUUUUUAACAUGUGCGAGAGCUGGAUGGUCUUUCAACAACACUGCUCCGGGUCUUCAGCAAGAAAGGUGCUUCUCAUGCAAGGAAGAUACAGAGGAUCCUGGUGCCCAUGACUCAGGUAAAACAUGCACACUGCCAUGCAUCACAGUAAUGCUAAAAUUUCGAGAUCUAA
This is a long non-coding RNA of Engraulis encrasicolus (European anchovy), 820 nucleotides long. RefSeq lists it as uncharacterized. Lineage: Eukaryota; Metazoa; Chordata; Actinopteri; Clupeiformes; Engraulidae. The transcript has 3 exons. The record is from RefSeq and is a predicted model, not a curated record.